RNAcentral lists this ribosomal RNA (1902 nucleotides) under Triticum aestivum (bread wheat). RNAcentral's name for it is "partial small subunit ribosomal RNA". The record is from RNAcentral. Lineage: Eukaryota; Viridiplantae; Streptophyta; Magnoliopsida; Poales; Poaceae.
AUGUCGGCCUUCUCCAUGCAGGACAACGAGCUGUGGAAGCGGCGCCUACUGAACCUGGUCAUCCAGGCAACAGUAGUUGGCUACGUUGUGGGCAAGUCCUCUUGGUCGGACCCCCCGCUCAAGGCGGCGUUGGUUCUCGUGUUCGUCUCUGGGUUCUGCAAGUACGCGUUCCGUACUUUGUACCUCUACCUUGCGAGGCCAAAGUUUCUGAAGAGCCCCACAUCAUGGUGGAUGUUCGGGCAAGGAAGAACUUCCUAUGAGCACAAGAGGGAAAGAGCCAUAGAAGACACGCGGAAAAUUCUUGAUAGGUUGUCCAAAGGCAGUACAGAGCGUCCAGAGUUCAUGCAGGCCUUGAGUCUCACAACUGACAUCAUGGCAGGGGAUGCUCCCCUCAACACGGUGCGGAGCAUCACCUUAGCUGAGACUGGGAAGCUACCAGACAUGCUCAACGAUUUCCUGUCUCGUGAUGACCGCCAGAAUGCCUACGAGCACGUGGGAACACUUCUUGUACAGUGCUACUCACGACUCUACACCAAAGGUUAUCUUCGAGAGAUUUUGGCUGAUAGUUGGCGUACGGGCGUGUGGGGUUCAUCAGUUAGUUCAGGAUGGGUAUCUAAAAUAUUUAGUGUUGUUCAAUUUAUCUGUGUUUACAACCUUUACAAGGGACCCACCCUCUUCACGUAUGUCGCAAUCGCGAUAGCCCUGGUGCUCUUCACGGCCGCCGAAAAGGGGGACCCACUACUCCAUAGUAGAAGAGGUAGAGUUGAUAUCAUGGUGUCCUACCUGCUGCUUGUGGGAGCAGUAGUGCUAGAUGUGUCAUCUUUUGUCAGCUUCAUUUUCUCCCGCUUCAGUGCCAAAUGCUGCUCCAAGAAGAAACUGUGGUGUCAAAAGCUCAACCAAUACAACAUGAUCAAUAGUGCAAAGGUAUCCAGAAAUUGGCUUACAAGAUAUAUAUGGGAAAAGUGUGUCUUAAAAGGUGAUGCAGACCUCAGUAUGCCCGUCAAGAAGUUCAUCCUCGACACUUUGCUAGCCUCGGGAACAAGAAAAGAAUGGAACAUUGCCAGCACCCGUGGCCAGCUAGCGCUUCAUCACCGCAAGGCGACCACAACCACACUAAGAGCACUUCAGGAGAGCGUCAGGACCGGUGUUGAUUUCCCAAGAAGCGUGCUCAUAUGGCACAUUGCAACAGACAUCUGCUUUCAUUACUCCGGCGACAAGGAUGCCACCACCACUUAUUCUACUGAUGGAUUGUUGAAGAAACAUUGCUAUAAGCAGAUGAGCAGAGAGCUCUCAAACUACAUCAUGUACCUUGUCUUCAAGUGCGGUGUGAUGCUUACUACCUACUCCCAUGUUGUACAUAACAAAACCCUAGAUGAAAUUGCAAAAAAAUUAUCAGGCUCUCUACGACAGGAUGUUAAUCCAGGUGAUCAUAAGGAUGCUGUCAUCAUGAAGCUUCUUCUUUCUGAAGAGAUCAAGAUAGAGCGCGAAGAAUCAAAGGAACAAGUUGAAACAAGCAAGGUCGAGCAUGAAGGAGAAUCCAACAAGGAGGAAGAUCGACAUGAAAUUGUCCAGAUAGAGCAUGAAGAAUCAGCGAACGAUGACAACAACAAUGCAGCUGCCGAGGAUCACAUGAAGAAACUCCGUCAGAGUGCUGAAGCUAUAUAUUGUUCUCCAGUGCUGCCCCGUGCACGUGAGGUGGCCCAGGAGCUGAUUAGCAUCAAGGAUGAAGCUAAGCGCUGGGAACUCAUUGCUGCGGUGUGGGCGGAGAAGCUUUACUACACCGCGCCACGUUGCGGGGCUGCUUUCCACGCCGAGCAUCUAACCAAGGGUGGCGAGUUCGUCACUCAUGUUUUUGUUCUCAUGUAUUUGCUUGGUCCUUUCAUGCCACCCCCUGGUGCUUGA